This is a non-coding RNA of Podarcis lilfordi (Lilford's wall lizard), 1320 nucleotides long. The record is from the annotation of a GenBank genome assembly. Lineage: Eukaryota; Metazoa; Chordata; Lepidosauria; Squamata; Lacertidae.
CCUGGGCAGCCUGGCCAUUCUUUUGUGAUGGUAAAUGCUUUAGUUCCUGAAUCCAGGUCACAGGCUCACCCUAUUCAUACAGAAAUACGCCCUUAAGACAGGAUUUGUAAGAAAAGAGACAGUGGGAAGGCUUUCCCCAUUUUCCUCCCUACUGCAGAGGAAUAUUUGAGAUCCCCUGGAGAGUCAAAAUGGUUUCAGGAUUGUUCUCCUGUACUAUUUCAGACACAUGGUUUAAAUACUUAUGUAUGUGUUUGCCUUGUAAAUUUAUGAAAAUUUAUUUUAUAUAUUUGAGACCUUAAAUCCUUAUAACAGUACUGAGUACCUGUAAUCACCUAGUCCUCCUACUCCUGAUAAUUACUUUGGCAGGCAACAUGUAUAACUUAAACGGCGUUUCCGUGCGCUGCUCUGGUUCGCCAGAAGCGGCUCAGUCAUGCUGGCCACAUGACCCGGAAGCUGUACGCCGGCUCCCUCGGCCAAUAAAGCGAGAUGAGCACCGCAACCCCAGAGUCGGUCAUGACUGGACCUAAUGGUCAGGGGUCCCUUUACCUUUACCUAUACACUGAUAGACCUCUCCCCCAUUUUCUUAAAUCGGAGUCCUCCCAAAUAGGGGGUGUCUUAUACAUGGGGGCAUCUUAUAGAUGGAAAAAUAUGGUAUUUCAGGGGCCAUGACCAAAUUUCAAGCAGUUGGUGUGGAGGGAGGGGGAAAGGUUUCUGUCUCCCUCCAGCUAUCUUCUCUCUGCACUCUACACAGGCACAGGAACUCUGCCAAUAGUGAAUGCUGAUUGACAGGAGACCUCUGCAAUACAAUGCAUGGCACAUCACACAAACUCAUUUGAAUGAGAAUUCAGUGUUGAGUUGUAGUGUCCAAGGACAAACAGCUUAAAUAAAUAAAGAUCUGUGCAAAGCUCCACAAGCCCCAUCUCUCUCCUUUCUAUCUGUCCCAAACAGUCCUAGAAAUGCAGCCUGGAAGUUAAAAGAGCAGGAAUGUAGGAAGAAACGAGCAAAGAAAGAAAGAAACUCAAAAGCGUGGGUACACACACACACACACACACACACACACACACCAUGUCCUGGAGCUAUGGUGAUAAAAUAAGAGAUAUACAAGGCAGAAGACAGAUAAGAAACACAACAAUGAAGAUAGAAUAGAUUGGCUAAUGGUUCCAUCAACACCCCACUGAGAAGUUCAAAGGAAAGGUAUAGACAUUUCAGCAGUACUUCAGUUCAGAUGUCAGGAAGAAGGAAGAAAAAAGCCACAAAAGCAAAACAAGCCAACCUACGGAAAGCAGGAAGUUUUUGUGAAAACAGUAAUGGAAUUUUAGG